GACGAACGCUGGCGGCGUGCUUAACACAUGCAAGUCGAACGGUAAGGCCCUGCUUUUGUGGGGUGCUCAAGUGGCGAAAGGGUGAGUAACACGUGAGUAACCUCCCCUUUACUUUGGGAUACCUUCAGGGAACUGGGGCUAAUACCGCAUAGGAGCUCCUGCUGCAUGGUGGGUGUUGGAAAGUUUCGGCGGUUGGGGAUGGACUCGCGGCUUAGCAGCGUGUUGGUGGGGUAGUGGCUUACCAGGGCUUUGACGGGUAGCCGGCCUGAGAGGGUGACCGGCCACAUUGGGACUCAGAUACGGCCCAGACGCCAACGGGAGGCAGCAGUGGAGAAUAUUGCACAAUGGGCGGAAGCCUGAUACAGCAACGCCGCGUGCGGGAUGACGGCCUUCGGGUUGUAACGCGCUUUCGCCUGUAACGAAGCGUGAGUGACGGUAAUGGGUAAAGAAGCACCGGCUAACUACGUG
RNAcentral lists this ribosomal RNA (468 nucleotides) under uncultured bacterium. RNAcentral describes it as "partial 16S ribosomal RNA". It matches the Rfam family "Bacterial small subunit ribosomal RNA", at positions 28 to 507 of the family's 1533-position model. The record is from RNAcentral.